UGGGGAAUUUUGGACAAUGGGCGAAAGCCUGAUCCAGCAAUGCCGCGUGUGUGAAGAAGGCCUUCGGGUUGUAAAGCACUUUUGUCCGGAAAGAAAUGGCUCUGGUUAAUACCUGGGGUCGAUGACGGUACCGGAAGAAUAAGGACCGGCUAACUACGUGCCAGCAGCCGCGGUAAUACGUAGGGUCCAAGCGUUAAUCGGAAUUACUGGGCGUAAAGCGUGCGCAGGCGGUUGUGCAAGACCGAAGUGAAAUCCCCGAGCUUAACUUGGGAAUUGCAUUGGUGACUGCACGGCUAGAGUGUGUCAGAGGGGGGUAGAAUUCCACGUGUAGCAGUGAAAUGCGUAGAGAUGUGGAGGAAUACCGAUGGCGAAGGCAGCCCCCUGGGAUAACACUGACGCUCAUGCACGAAAGCGUGGGGAGCAAACAGG
This 429-nucleotide ribosomal RNA is filed under the name Bacillota bacterium. Its description in RNAcentral is "Firmicutes bacterium partial 16S ribosomal RNA". It matches the Rfam family "Bacterial small subunit ribosomal RNA", at positions 355 to 776 of the family's 1533-position model. Lineage: Bacteria; Bacillati; Bacillota. The record is from RNAcentral.